AUUGAACGCUGGCGGAAUGCUUUACACAUGCAAGUCGAACGGCAGCACGGACUUCGGUCUGGUGGCGAGUGGCGAACGGGUGAGUAAUAUAUCGGAACGUGCCCAGUCGUGGGGGAUAACGUAGUGAAAAUUACGCUAAUACCGCAUACGAUCUAAGGAUGAAAGCGGGGGAUCGCAAGACCUCGCGCGAUUGGAGCGGCCGAUAUCAGAUUAGGUAGUUGGUGAGGUAAAGGCUCACCAAGCCGACGAUCUGUAGCUGGUCUGAGAGGACGACCAGCCACACUGGAACUGAGACACGGUCCAGACUCCUACGGGAGGCAGCAGUGGGGAAUUUUGGACAAUGGGCGCAAGCCUGAUCCAGCAAUGCCGCGUGCAGGAAGAAGGCCUUCGGGUUGUAAACUGCUUUGUACGG
Molecule: ribosomal RNA, 412 nt
Filed under: uncultured bacterium
Lineage: Bacteria
Description: bacterial SSU rRNA
Rfam family: Bacterial small subunit ribosomal RNA
Source: RNAcentral